UACUGAGUAGCACUCGCAUAUCAAUAAGCGGAGGAAAAGAAACUAACAAGGAUUCCCCUAGUAACGGCGAGUGAAGCGGGAAGAGCUCAAAUUUGAAAUCUUAAAGGGUUUCCCUUUACGAAUUGUAGUUUAAAGAAGUGUUUUCUGUUGAGGUUUUGGUAAAAGUUCUUUGGAAUAGGACAUCAUAGAGGGUGAGAAUCCCGUAUUUGACCUUUACUUUCAACUUUGUGAUACACUUUCAAAGAGUCGGAUUGUUUGGGAAUGCAGUCCAAAAUGGGUGGUAAAUUUCAUCUAAAGCUAAAUAUUGGCGAGAGACCGAUAGCGAACAAGUACCGUGAGGGAAAGAUGAAAAGAACUUUGAAAAGAGAGUUAAACAGUACGUGAAAUUGUCAAAAGGGAAGCGUUUGACACCAGUGUUGUUUUUCUGAAAAUCAAUUAAAGAACUGUUUAUGCUAAGCUGUUUAGACUUUAUCAGCUAUCUGCUUUAGUUUUGAGCUUUUCUUUAAUGCACUUUUCAGUUAACAAGUCAACAUCAAUUUCUUUUGCUGUAAAAAAGCUUGAGGAAGGUGGCUUGAGAUUCGUCUUAAGUGUUUAUAGCCUCUUGCCUAUGCAGUCGGAGAGAUUGAGGUCUGCAGCGUAGAUCCUUCGGGGCUAAAUGCAUUUGUGCUAAGUUAUAGCAUUUUAUAGACAACUUGUUGACUAUGAUUUGUCUUGUAGCUUACUCGCUUAUGUUAUUUUACCUACGCUUAGGAUGUUGAACUCUAUCACACACAG
RNAcentral lists this ribosomal RNA (774 nucleotides) under uncultured Neocallimastigales. RNAcentral's name for it is "partial large subunit ribosomal RNA". It matches the Rfam family "Eukaryotic large subunit ribosomal RNA", at positions 26 to 621 of the family's 3401-position model. The record is from RNAcentral. Lineage: Eukaryota; Fungi; Neocallimastigomycota; Neocallimastigomycetes; Neocallimastigales.